RNAcentral lists this ribosomal RNA (465 nucleotides) under uncultured bacterium. Its description in RNAcentral is "partial 16S ribosomal RNA". It matches the Rfam family "Bacterial small subunit ribosomal RNA", at positions 28 to 507 of the family's 1533-position model. The record is from RNAcentral.
GAUGAACGCUGGCGGCGUGCUUAAUACAUGCAAGUCGUACGGUAAGGUUCUUUCGUGGCUUCCCGAGCGGUGAACGGGUGGGUAACACGUGAGUAAUCUGGCCACAACUUCGGGAUAACGCUAGGGAACUGACGCUUAUACUCGAUAUGUACUCCUGCUGCAUGUUGGUGGUUGGAAAGUUACGGCUGUUGUGGAUGGAUUCGCGGCCUACCAGCUUGUUGGUGGAGGAGUUAGCUACUAAGGCGGCGAAGGGUAGGCGACAUCGGGGGGUGAUCGGCCACAUUACGACUGAGAUACGGACCAGAAGCCUACGGGAGGCAGCAGUGGAGAGUAUUGCAGAAUGAGGGCGAGCGUGAUGCAGCGGUGCCGCGUGCGUGAUGACCGCCUUCGGGUUGUGAACCGGUUUCAGAAGGGAAGGAUCAUUUUGUGACGGUACCUGAAGAGGAAGCGCCGGCUAACUACGUG